Molecule: ribosomal RNA, 115 nt
Filed under: Bryoclavula phycophila
Lineage: Eukaryota; Fungi; Basidiomycota; Agaricomycetes; Cantharellales; Hydnaceae
Description: partial 28S ribosomal RNA
Rfam family: Eukaryotic large subunit ribosomal RNA
Source: RNAcentral
AUCUGACCUCGAAUCAGGUGGGACUACCCGCUGAACUUAAGCAUAUCAAUAAGCGGAGGAAAAGAAACUAACAAGGAUUCCCCUAGUAACGGCGAGUGAAGCGGGAUGAGCUCAA